GAUGAACGCUGGCGGCGUGCUUAACACAUGCAAGUCGAACGAAGCACUUUAUUUGAUUUCCUUCGGGACUGAUUAUUUUGUGACUGAGUGGCGGACGGGUGAGUAACGCGUGGGUAACCUGCCUUGUACAGGGGGAUAACAGUUGGAAACGGCUGCUAAUACCGCAUAAGCGCACAGCAUCGCAUGAUGCAGUGUGAAAAACUCCGGUGGUAUAAGAUGGACCCGCGUUGGAUUAGCUAGUUGGUGAGGUAACGGCCCACCAAGGCGACGAUCCAUAGCCGACCUGAGAGGGUGACCGGCCACAUUGGGACUGAGACACGGCCCAAACUCCUACGGGAGGCAGCAGUGGGGAAUAUUGCACAAUGGGCGAAAGCCUAAUGCAGCGACGCCGCGUGAGCGAAGAAGUAUUUCGGUAUGUAAAGCUCUAUCAGCAGGGAAGAUAAUGACGGUACCUGACUAAGAAGCACCGGCUAAAUACGUG
Molecule: ribosomal RNA, 481 nt
Filed under: uncultured bacterium
Lineage: Bacteria
Description: partial 16S ribosomal RNA
Rfam family: Bacterial small subunit ribosomal RNA
Source: RNAcentral